CCGACGGUGAGGGAUGAAAGCUGGGGGCACGAACCGGAUUAGAUACCCGGGUAGUCCCAGCCGUAAACGAUGCUCGCUAGGUGUCAGGCAUGGCGCGACCGUGUCUGGUGCCGCAGGGAAGCCGUGAAGCGAGCCACCUGGGAAGUACGGCCGCAAGGCUGAAACUUAAAGGAAUUGGCGGGGGAGCACAACAACGGGUGGAGCCUGCGGUUUAAUUGGACUCAACGCCGGACAACUCACCGGGGGCGACAGCAAUAUGUAGGCCAAGCUGAAGACUUUGCCUGAAUCGCUGAGAGGAGGUGCAUGGCCGUCGCCAGUUCGUAC
This 324-nucleotide ribosomal RNA is filed under the name uncultured archaeon. RNAcentral's name for it is "bacterial SSU rRNA". It matches the Rfam family "Archaeal small subunit ribosomal RNA", at positions 691 to 1014 of the family's 1478-position model. The record is from RNAcentral.